This 994-nucleotide ribosomal RNA is filed under the name uncultured bacterium. RNAcentral describes it as "bacterial SSU rRNA". It matches the Rfam family "Archaeal small subunit ribosomal RNA", at positions 343 to 1336 of the family's 1478-position model. The record is from RNAcentral.
AAAACUUUACAAUGCGGGCAACCGUGAUAAGGAAACCCCGAGUGCCAUCACAGGCUGGCUGUCCGCCAUUAUAAAACACUGGGUGAAUAAAUGGCCGGGCAAUACCGGUGCCAGCCGCCGCGGUAAUACCGGCGGCUCGAGUGGUGGCCGCUUUUACUGGGGCUUAAAGGGUCCGUAGCUUGAUUCAUGGGUCCCUUGAGAAAUCCAUCGGCUUAACUGAUGGGCGUUCAGGGGAAACUGUGGUUCUAGGGACCGGGAGAGGUGAGAGGUACUGCCGGGGUAGGAGUGAAAUCCUGUAAUCCCGGUGGGACGACCUAUGGCGAAGGCAUCUCACCAGAACGGCUCCGACAGUGAGGGACGAAAGCUGGGGGAGCAAACCGGAUUAGAUACCCGGGUAGUCCCAGCUGUAAACGAUGCGCGUUAGGUGUGUCAGUGACCACGAGUUACUGAGAUGCCGAAGGGAAACCGUGAAACGCGCCCGCCUGGGGAGUACGGUCGCAAGGCUGAAACUUAAAGGAAUUGGCGGGGGAGCACCACAACGGGUGGAGCUGCGGUUUAAUCGGACUCAACGCCGGAAAUCUCACCGGAUAAGACAGCUGAAUGAUAGUCGGGAUGAAGACUCAUGCUAUGACAUAGCUGAGAGGAGGUGCAUGGCCGUCGUCAGUUCGUACUGUGAAGCAUCCUGUUUAGUCAGGCAACGAGCGAGACCCACGCCAACAAUUGCCAGCAUAACUUCGGGUUGAUGGGGACAUCGAUAUGGGACCGCCUCUGCUAAAGGGGAGGAAGGAAUGGGCAACGGUAGGUCAGCAUGCCCCGAAUUAUCCGGGCUACACGCGGGCUACAAUGGUUGGGACAAUGGGUUCCGACACCGAAAGGUGAAGGCAAUCUCCUAAACCCAUCCGAAGUUCGGAUUGCGGGUUGUAACUCACCCGCAUGAAGCUGGAAUCCGUGGUAAUCGCGUUUCACCAUAACGCGGUGAAUAUGUCCCUGCUCC